Molecule: ribosomal RNA, 396 nt
Filed under: uncultured Acidimicrobiales bacterium
Lineage: Bacteria; Bacillati; Actinomycetota; Acidimicrobiia; Acidimicrobiales
Description: bacterial SSU rRNA
Rfam family: Bacterial small subunit ribosomal RNA
Source: RNAcentral
AAUCUUGCGCAAUGGGCGAAAGCCUGACGCAGCAACGCCGCGUGGGGGACGAAGGCUUUCUGAGUUGUAAACCCCUUUCAGCAGGGACGAUUGUGACGGUACCUGCAGAAGAAGCACCGGCUAACUACGUGCCAGCAGCCGCGGUGAUACGUAGGGUGCAAGCGUUGUCCGGAUUUAUUGGGCGUAAAGAGCUCGUAGGCGGUUCGAUAAGUCGGGUGUGAAACCCCCAGGCUCAACCUGGGGCCUGCACUCGAUACUGUCGUGACUAGAGUCCGGUAGGGGACCAUGGAAUUCCUGGUGUAGCGGUGAAAUGCGCAGAUAUCAGGAGGAACACCAGCAGCGAAGGCGGUGGUCUGGGCCGGCACUGACGCUGAGGAGCGAAAGCGUGGGGAGCGA